UACGUAGGGACCAAGCGUUGUUCGGAUUUACUGGGCGUAAAGGGCGCGUAGGCGGCUUGACAAGUCACUUGUGAAAUCUCCGGGCUUAACUCGGAACGGCCAAGUGAAACUGUCAUGCUAGAGUGCAGAAGGGGCAAUCGGAAUUCUUGGUGUAGCGGUGAAAUGCGUAGAUAUGCGGAGGAACACCGAUGGCGAAGGCAAUCCCCUGGACCUGUACUGACGCUCAUGCACGAAAGCGUGGGGAGCAAACAGG
Molecule: ribosomal RNA, 253 nt
Filed under: uncultured bacterium
Lineage: Bacteria
Description: partial 16S ribosomal RNA
Rfam family: Bacterial small subunit ribosomal RNA
Source: RNAcentral